This 440-nucleotide ribosomal RNA is filed under the name uncultured bacterium. RNAcentral describes it as "partial 16S ribosomal RNA". It matches the Rfam family "Bacterial small subunit ribosomal RNA", at positions 338 to 795 of the family's 1533-position model. The record is from RNAcentral.
CCUACGGGCGGCAGCAGUGGGGAAUAUUGCACAAUGGGGGGAACCCUGAUGCAGCGACGCCGCGUGAGUGAAGAAGUAUUUCGGUAUGUAAAGCUCUAUCAGCAGCGAAGAAGAUGACGGUACCUGACUAAGAAGCCCCGGCUAACUACGUGCCAGCAGCCGCGGGAAUACGUAGGGGGCAAGCGUUAUCCGGAUUUACUGGGUGUAAAGGGAGCGUAGACGGUAGGGCAAGUCUGGAGUGAAAGCCAGGGGCCCAACCCCGGGACUGCUUUGGAAACUGCCAGGCUAGAGUGCAGGAGAGGGAAGCGGAAUUCCGAGUGUAGCGGUGAAAUGCGUAGAUAUAAGGAGGAACACCAGUGGCGAAGGCGGCUUACUGGACAGUAACUGACGUUGAGGCUCGAAAGCGUGGGGAGCAAACAGGAUUAGAUACCCCUGUAGUC